UACGUAGGUGGCGAGCGUUACUCGGAAUUACUAGGCGUAAAGCGCGUGUAGAUGGUCUUGCAAGUCGGUCGUGAAAGCUCCCGGCCUAACUGGGAGAGGUCGAUCGAAACUGCUUGGCUUGAGUGUAUGAGAGGAAUCUGGAAUUCCCGGUGUAGCGGUGAAAUGCGUAGAUAUCGGGAGGAAUACCUAUGGCGAAGGCAGGAUUCUGGCAUAUUACUGACAUUGAGACGCGAAAGCUAGGGGAG
RNAcentral lists this ribosomal RNA (245 nucleotides) under uncultured bacterium. RNAcentral describes it as "partial 16S ribosomal RNA". It matches the Rfam family "Bacterial small subunit ribosomal RNA", at positions 524 to 768 of the family's 1533-position model. The record is from RNAcentral.